GACGUCGCUGCCGUGAUC
RNAcentral lists this small nuclear RNA (18 nucleotides) under Arabidopsis thaliana (thale cress). Its description in RNAcentral is "snRNA_04399". Lineage: Eukaryota; Viridiplantae; Streptophyta; Magnoliopsida; Brassicales; Brassicaceae. The record is from RNAcentral.